RNAcentral lists this ribosomal RNA (480 nucleotides) under uncultured bacterium. Its description in RNAcentral is "bacterial SSU rRNA". It matches the Rfam family "Bacterial small subunit ribosomal RNA", at positions 30 to 507 of the family's 1533-position model. The record is from RNAcentral.
UUGAACGCUGGCGGCAUGCCUUACACAUGCAAGUCGAACGGCAGCACGGGCAACCUGGUGGCGAGUGGCGAACGGGUGAGUAAUGCAUCGGAACGUGCCAUUGAGUGGGGAUAACGUAGCGAAAGUUGCGCUAAUACCGCAUAUUCUGUGAGCAGGAAAGCAGGGGGACCGCAAGGCCUUGCGCUCUUUGAGCGGCCGAUGUCAGAUUAGCUAGUUGGUGAGGUAACGGCUUACCAAGGCGACGAUCUGUAGCGGGUCUGAGAGGAUGAUCCGCCACACUGGAACUGAGACACGGUCCAGACUCCUACGGGAGGCAGCAGUGGGGAAUUUUGGACAAUGGGCGCAAGCCUGAUCCAGCCAUGCCGCGUGAGUGAAGAAGGCCUUCGGGUUGUAAAGCUCUUUCGGCCGGGAAGAAAUCGCAUGGGUUAAUACCCUGUGUGGAUGACGGUACCGGAAUAAGAAGCACCGGCUAACUACGUG